RNAcentral lists this ribosomal RNA (196 nucleotides) under uncultured Proteus sp. RNAcentral describes it as "partial 16S ribosomal RNA". It matches the Rfam family "Bacterial small subunit ribosomal RNA", at positions 337 to 525 of the family's 1533-position model. The record is from RNAcentral. Lineage: Bacteria; Pseudomonadati; Pseudomonadota; Gammaproteobacteria; Enterobacterales; Morganellaceae.
UCCUACGGGAGGCAGCAGUGGGGAAUAUUGCACAAUGGGCGCAAGCCUGAUGCAGCCAUGCCGCGUGUAUGAAGAAGGCCUUAGGGUUGUAAAGUACUUUCAGCGGGGAGGAAGGUGAUAAGGUUAAUACCCUUAUCAAUUGACGUUACCCGCAGAAGAAGCACCGGCUAACUCCGUGCCAGCAGCCGCGGUAAUA